Molecule: ribosomal RNA, 772 nt
Filed under: Bacillus licheniformis
Lineage: Bacteria; Bacillati; Bacillota; Bacilli; Caryophanales; Bacillaceae
Description: bacterial SSU rRNA
Rfam family: Bacterial small subunit ribosomal RNA
Source: RNAcentral
CGGCGGACGGGUGAGUAACACGUGGGUAACCUGCCUGUAAGACUGGGAUAACUCCGGGAAACCGGGGCUAAUACCGGAUGCUUGAUUGAACCGCAUGGUUCAAUCAUAAAAGGUGGCUUUCAGCUACCACUUACAGAUGGACCCGCGGCGCAUUAGCUAGUUGGUGAGGUAACGGCUCACCAAGGCGACGAUGCGUAGCCGACCUGAGAGGGUGAUCGGCCACACUGGGACUGAGACACGGCCCAGACUCCUACGGGAGGCAGCAGUAGGGAAUCUUCCGCAAUGGACGAAAGUCUGACGGAGCAACGCCGCGUGAGUGAUGAAGGUUUUCGGAUCGUAAAACUCUGUUGUUAGGGAAGAACAAGUACCGUUCGAAUAGGGCGGUACCUUGACGGUACCUAACCAGAAAGCCACGGCUAACUACGUGCCAGCAGCCGCGGUAAUACGUAGGUGGCAAGCGUUGUCCGGAAUUAUUGGGCGUAAAGCGCGCGCAGGCGGUUUCUUAAGUCUGAUGUGAAAGCCCCCGGCUCAACCGGGGAGGGUCAUUGGAAACUGGGGAACUUGAGUGCAGAAGAGGAGAGUGGAAUUCCACGUGUAGCGGUGAAAUGCGUAGAGAUGUGGAGGAACACCAGUCGGCGAAGGCGACUCUCUGGUCUGUAACUGACGCUGAGGCGCGAAAGCGUGGGGAGCGAACAGGAUUAGAUAUCCUGGUAGUCCACGCCGUAAACGAUGAGUGCUAAGUGUUAGAGGGUUUCCGCCCUUUAGUGCUGCA